Long non-coding RNA from Ziziphus jujuba (common jujube), 1444 nucleotides. RefSeq lists it as uncharacterized. Lineage: Eukaryota; Viridiplantae; Streptophyta; Magnoliopsida; Rosales; Rhamnaceae. The transcript is spliced from 2 exons. The record is from RefSeq and is a predicted model, not a curated record.
UUUUCAGGACGACUCCAAAUACCAUUUACCCAAUCCCAGUGAAGCUUUUCAGGACGUAAACAAACAGAGCAAAGAAGCAGACUCACGAGGGUUUCAAACCUAAAAGAAGCGGCCAACGAUCCGACAAGAUCUCGAACAGAGUCGGCGAACGAUCCGGCAGAAGCAACUUUGCGUGAGAGGAUGAGAGGUUAUUCACGAAAGCUUCGAGAGAGGGCAGGAUAAAAGUGACCCAGGUGUUUUGGUGGGUCAGCUUUAUCCCCCUCGAGGCGGAUAAAUUGAUUAACGGGAUAAAUGUGUCCCGUCCUCUAUUUUCCUUCCCAAACAUCAGAUUGGGACUAUAACCUGUCCGAUCCUGACCAAUCCCAUGUAACAAACACCCCCUAACAUUACCGGAUUUACAGUGUUUUGGCAGAAAAUUGGACAGAUCAUUUCAAGGCCGACAUAACAUGAAUGGUUGUUGGGAUGGAAUUUUCAAUUGCAUACAUGUCUCAUAUAUUUCUCACAUACCAAUCACCAUCGACAACAUAUUUUAUAAUUUUAUUUUCUAUUUAUUUAAUUAUCCUAAAAUAUUAAUAAGAUAAUUACAAGUAUAACUAAUUUGAUUUUAUAUCGCAGAAAAUUGGAGCCUAUCAACAAAAACUCCAGCCAAGGCAUCAUCGAGAACCAAAAUUAGUGGCUUGAACCUACAUCUUCUUCUUCUUGGAUUUGGAGCGUUCGAGGAACGGAGAAAGACCAGAGAAAGAGAGUGAGCAAGAGUGAGAAAAAGAGUGUUCCGAGGAACAGAUAAAAGACCAACGAAAGAGAGUGACAGCAAGAGAGAACCCCGAUCUCAGAGUGAUUGCCAGACGAGAAGAGAGUGAGCAAGAAUGAAGGAGCCAGAUCUACGAGGAAAAGUGAGACAAAGAGAUCAGAGAGUAAGAGAUCCAAGGUAUCGUUCGGUUUCGAUCACCACUGGUUUUUGGUUCCGGUUAACCGACCGGCUGGACUACGAUCACCGAAAAAUCGUUUCGUCCGGUUUCACUGAUUCGGUUUUGUCAGUUGACCGGUUAUUAUGCCCACCCCUCCUGAGUUUUAGUAUUUAUAAUGGCGUUUAAUUGACUACGGAAAAUGCGCUUAUAAGAAGACAAAACUAAUAUCUAAUAUCUUAAAACAUCUACAUGGUAAAGCACAUGGAAAAUAUGUUAUAUGAUCAUUGAUCAGUAUAAAUUGAUUCCUCCACCAAAAAUUUAAAUUGACUCACCUUUAUAUUUUAAACUAAACGGUAACCUUGGAUACCAAGACUAAUUUUGGAUCCACAAUAAUAAUUGCCUCAGUGUACUGCAUUUUCUUAGUACAAAAAAAUAAGCAUAAAUAGUCUUAAAAACCUAGGGAUAUAAUUCCUGAUAGGGGACUGUUUUUUUCUUUGUUUUUUGUUUUGUUUUUUUUUUUUUUUUUUUUUUUUUUU